RNAcentral lists this ribosomal RNA (2591 nucleotides) under Staphylococcus aureus. Its description in RNAcentral is "bacterial LSU rRNA". It matches the Rfam family "Bacterial large subunit ribosomal RNA", at positions 236 to 2830 of the family's 2925-position model. The record is from RNAcentral. Lineage: Bacteria; Bacillati; Bacillota; Bacilli; Caryophanales; Staphylococcaceae.
UCCCUUAGUAGCGGCGAGCGAAACGGGAAGAGCCCAAACCAAAAAGCUUGCUUGUUGGGGUUGUAGGACACUCUAUACGGAGUUACAAAGGACGACAUUAGACGAAUCAUCUGGAAAGAUGAAUCAAAGAAGGUAAUAAUCCUGUAGUCGAAAAUGUUGUCUCUCUUGAGUGGAUCCUGAGUACGACGGAGCACGUGAAAUUCCGUCGGAAUCUGGGAGGACCAUCUCCUAAGGCUAAAUACUCUCUAGUGACCGAUAGUGAACCAGUACCGUGAGGGAAAGGUGAAAAGCACCCCGGAAGGGGAGUGAAAUAGAACCUGAAACCGUGUGCUUACAAGUAGUCAGAGCCCGUUAAUGGGUGAUGGCGUGCCUUUUGUAGAAUGAACCGGCGAGUUACGAUUUGAUGCAAGGUUAAGCAGUAAAUGUGGAGCCGUAGCGAAAGCGAGUCUGAAUAGGGCGUUUAGUAUUUGGUCGUAGACCCGAAACCAGGUGAUCUACCCUUGGUCAGGUUGAAGUUCAGGUAACACUGAAUGGAGGACCGAACCGACUUACGUUGAAAAGUGAGCGGAUGAACUGAGGGUAGCGGAGAAAUUCCAAUCGAACCUGGAGAUAGCUGGUUCUCUCCGAAAUAGCUUUAGGGCUAGCCUCAAGUGAUGAUUAUUGGAGGUAGAGCACUGUUUGGACGAGGGGCCCCUCUCGGGUUACCGAAUUCAGACAAACUCCGAAUGCCAAUUAAUUUAACUUGGGAGUCAGAACAUGGGUGAUAAGGUCCGUGUUCGAAAGGGAAACAGCCCAGACCACCAGCUAAGGUCCCAAAAUAUAUGUUAAGUGGAAAAGGAUGUGGCGUUGCCCAGACAACUAGGAUGUUGGCUUAGAAGCAGCCAUCAUUUAAAGAGUGCGUAAUAGCUCACUAGUCGAGUGACACUGCGCCGAAAAUGUACCGGGGCUAAACAUAUUACCGAAGCUGUGGAUUGUCCUUUGGACAAUGGUAGGAGAGCGUUCUAAGGGCGUUGAAGCAUGAUCGUAAGGACAUGUGGAGCGCUUAGAAGUGAGAAUGCCGGUGUGAGUAGCGAAAGACGGGUGAGAAUCCCGUCCACCGAUUGACUAAGGUUUCCAGAGGAAGGCUCGUCCGCUCUGGGUUAGUCGGGUCCUAAGCUGAGGCCGACAGGCGUAGGCGAUGGAUAACAGGUUGAUAUUCCUGUACCACCUAUAAUCGUUUUAAUCGAUGGGGGGACGCAGUAGGAUAGGCGAAGCGUGCGAUUGGAUUGCACGUCUAAGCAGUAAGGCUGAGUAUUAGGCAAAUCCGGUACUCGUUAAGGCUGAGCUGUGAUGGGGAGAAGACAUUGAGUCUUCGAGUCGUUGAUUUCACACUGCCGAGAAAAGCCUCUAGAUAGAAAAUAGGUGCCCGUACCGCAAACCGACACAGGUAGUCAAGAUGAGAAUUCUAAGGUGAGCGAGCGAACUCUCGUUAAGGAACUCGGCAAAAUGACCCCGUAACUUCGGGAGAAGGGGUGCUCUUUAGGGUUAACGCCCAGAAGAGCCGCAGUGAAUAGGCCCAAGCGACUGUUUAUCAAAAACACAGGUCUCUGCUAAACCGUAAGGUGAUGUAUAGGGGCUGACGCCUGCCCGGUGCUGGAAGGUUAAGAGGAGUGGUUAGCUUCUGCGAAGCUACGAAUCGAAGCCCCAGUAAACGGCGGCCGUAACUAUAACGGUCCUAAGGUAGCGAAAUUCCUUGUCGGGUAAGUUCCGACCCGCACGAAAGGCGUAACGAUUUGGGCACUGUCUCAACGAGAGACUCGGUGAAAUCAUAGUACCUGUGAAGAUGCAGGUUACCCGCGACAGGACGGAAAGACCCCGUGGAGCUUUACUGUAGCCUGAUAUUGAAAUUCGGCACAGCUUGUACAGGAUAGGUAGGAGCCUUUGAAACGUGAGCGCUAGCUUACGUGGAGGCGCUGGUGGGAUACUACCCUAGCUGUGUUGGCUUUCUAACCCGCACCACUUAUCGUGGUGGGAGACAGUGUCAGGCGGGCAGUUUGACUGGGGCGGUCGCCUCCUAAAAGGUAACGGAGGCGCUCAAAGGUUCCCUCAGAAUGGUUGGAAAUCAUUCAUAGAGUGUAAAGGCAUAAGGGAGCUUGACUGCGAGACCUACAAGUCGAGCAGGGUCGAAAGACGGACUUAGUGAUCCGGUGGUUCCGCAUGGAAGGGCCAUCGCUCAACGGAUAAAAGCUACCCCGGGGAUAACAGGCUUAUCUCCCCCAAGAGUUCACAUCGACGGGGAGGUUUGGCACCUCGAUGUCGGCUCAUCGCAUCCUGGGGCUGUAGUCGGUCCCAAGGGUUGGGCUGUUCGCCCAUUAAAGCGGUACGCGAGCUGGGUUCAGAACGUCGUGAGACAGUUCGGUCCCUAUCCGUCGUGGGCGUAGGAAAUUUGAGAGGAGCUGUCCUUAGUACGAGAGGACCGGGAUGGACAUACCUCUGGUGUACCAGUUGUCGUGCCAACGGCAUAGCUGGGUAGCUAUGUGUGGACGGGAUAAGUGCUGAAAGCAUCUAAGCAUGAAGCCCCCCUCAAGAUGAGAUUUCCCAACUUCGGUUAU